This is a long non-coding RNA of Musca domestica (house fly), 895 nucleotides long. RefSeq lists it as uncharacterized. The record is from RefSeq and is a predicted model, not a curated record. Lineage: Eukaryota; Metazoa; Arthropoda; Insecta; Diptera; Muscidae. The transcript is spliced from 2 exons.
UUCCAGAACCUGCAAAUUAGUACUAAUUAGCACUAAUUCUGCUACAACGCGUUCCCGUACUCCAAAAACUAGCAAAACUUGCAGCUCUCUCGAGAAAAAAAUGGCGCUGAGUGGUGCACAUUUCUGCUUGUUUUAGCUACAUGAAUUUGGCCGAGCAGAAAUGUGCAUAUUGUAAAUUUGACAUUUAAUUGGCAGGGCUAACAAGGUUGAAAAAUGUAUUGAUACAUUUCAAUAAAGAAAAUGACCAACUUGAAAACUAAAGGAAAAACUAAUAGUUGUGUUCCAGAACCUAAAAGUUAGUACUAAUUAGUGCUAAUUCUACUACAACGCGUUCCCGUACUCCAAAAACUAGCAAAACUUGCAGCUCUCUCGAGAAUAAAAUGGCGCUGAGUGGUGCACAUUUCUGCUUGUUUUAGCUACAUGAAUUUGGCCGAGCAGAAAUGUGCAAAUUGUAAAUUUGAUAUUUAAUUGGCAGGGCUAACAAGGUUGAAAAAUGUAUUAAUACAUUUCAAUGUUCGCGCGUAACAACAAAUGUAAAGAAAAAAGAUUAACUUAAAAAAUAAAGAAUAACUAAUAUUUGUCGUGCAAAAAACAAAAAGAGAAAAUAUGGAGCAACUGAUGUAUUCACUUUUGGAUGAUUCCAGCAGUAAAGAGGAUUGGCUGAAUGAGGAAUCAGACGAAGAAAACGUAUUGGAAAACAGUGCAAAAUUAGUAAAAGGUUGGCUGUCUUCCUAACUUGUAGCAUUAAGUCUUCUUGCAGACUUAACAUUAAUUUAACCGGCGCCUCCAACCAUGUGAGCUUUUCCGGGUUGGGAUUUGAGAAAACUCCACCUCUAAAUACUCUUCAACGCAUUCUGAAAACAAAACUUUCUAAAUAAACACCAUUCAAAAAUAA